RNAcentral lists this ribosomal RNA (497 nucleotides) under uncultured bacterium. RNAcentral's name for it is "partial 16S ribosomal RNA". It matches the Rfam family "Bacterial small subunit ribosomal RNA", at positions 28 to 507 of the family's 1533-position model. The record is from RNAcentral.
GACGAACGCUGGCGGCGUGCCUAAUACAUGCAAGUUGAGCGCUGAAGGUUGGUACUUGUACCGACUGGAUGAGCAGCGAACGGGUGAGUAACGCGUGGGGAAUCUGCCUUUGAGCGGGGGACAACAUUUGGAAACGAAUGCUAAUACCGCAUAAAAACUUUAAACACAAGUUUUAAGUUUGAAAGAUGCAAUUGCAUCACUCAAAGAUGAUCCCGCGUUGUAUUAGCUAGUUGGUGAGGUAAAGGCUCACCAAGGCGAUGAUACAUAGCCGACCUGAGAGGGUGGUCGGCCACAUUGGGACUGAGACACGGCCCAAACUCCUACGGGGGGCAGCAGUAGGGAAUCUUCGGCAAUGGACGAAAGUCUGACCGAGCAACGCCGCGGGAGUGAAGAAGGUUUUCGGAUCGUAAAACUCUGUUGGUAGAGAAGAACGUUGGUGAGAGUGGAAAGCUCAUCAAGUGACGGUAACUACCCAGAAAGGGACGGCUAACUACGUG